UUUUUUUUUUAAAAAUUAUUUUUGGCUGUGCUGGGUCUUUGUUGCUGCACAUGGGCUUCUCUAGUUGAGAGGCCUGAGUUCACCUGGAAGUACCUAAAUCAAAAUCCACAGGCGAUACCUUUGGAAGCAAGGAGAGAGAAUUUCAGAGAGGGAAUGGUGUCAGGAGCCAGAAUGUCUGAACCUCCUUCUCUACCAGCUGAGGCUCCUGAGGGCUUUGACAAGAACCCCAGGGAAGAGGGGGAGAAAACUCUUCAGGCUGAGCUGCAAGCUUGGCAUCUUCCACUGUCACUCACAUGGAGGCCAGAGGAAAGUACCACUGAUUCUCUUCAUUCAAGAGCCAUGUGUUGGCACCAACGUUGUGCCAGCGGCUGGGCUGGGCACUGGGAGGAACCUGCUAAAGUAGACAUGUUAUGUACCCUGGGGUGUUGGCGGCAGAGGAAGAGACAGUCAGAUGUCUAUUGACUGAGUGUGG
Bos taurus (domestic cattle) is the source of this 472-nucleotide long non-coding RNA. Lineage: Eukaryota; Metazoa; Chordata; Mammalia; Artiodactyla; Bovidae. The record is from Ensembl.